UAACCUGCCUUGGAGUGGGGAAUAACACAUCGAAAGAUGUGCUAAUACCGCAUGAUGCAGUUGGGCCGGCAUGGCUCUGACUGCCAAAGAUUUAUCGCUCUGAGAUGGACUCGCGUCUGAUUAGCUGGUUGGCGGGGUAACGGCCCACCAAGGCGACGAUCAGUAGCCGGACUGAGAGGUUGACCGGCCACAUUGGGACUGAGACACGGCCCAGACUCCUACGGGAGGCAGCAG
This 234-nucleotide ribosomal RNA is filed under the name uncultured bacterium. Its description in RNAcentral is "partial 16S ribosomal RNA". It matches the Rfam family "Bacterial small subunit ribosomal RNA", at positions 122 to 354 of the family's 1533-position model. The record is from RNAcentral.